GUCUGUUGUGUUUCUACGUCAUGAUAACAUGAUAUGUGCUGCACCGCUAGAGCAUGUUAGAAAUGGAUUAGAUCACGAACUGAUUUAAACAUACUUUUAUUUAAUAUUUCAAUGAAAAAAAUGAAUGUUUUUGUAGACGUUUUGUUUCUCGUUGCUUUACAUCAAGCAAGUGCACACCAAUAUGUUAAAAUUCUGACUGUCACACCCGGACUGUCAACUGUUUUGACAUGUCAUGUCAGGAGUACAGAUGACAUUAAAGAGGUUAUAUGGGUCGGACCUUCAGGAAAUCCGCUUACCAUUGGAAAACGCAAUGUAACAACAGAUUCACGAAUUUAUGUAAAACAACCUUAUGCAAAUGUAUGGAAACUACACAUAACCAGAGUUAAACUGAGUGACGCCGGGGAUUAUACCUGCAAAGUAGAAACAACACCACCUCAAAUUUCAAAAGUAAAGUUAGUUGUUAAAGAAACACUAUCAACAUCGACGAUUUCUCCAACAAAAGCAGAUCCAACUGGUAUGGCACCGAGUUUACGAAUGAAGUAUUUCGAAGUUUUUUGUGCCGUUUUAUCAAUAUCAUUUCUAGUUGUUUAAUAAUUGUGAUGAACGUGCAAAUACAACAAUUACAUGUU
Molecule: long non-coding RNA, 629 nt
Organism: Mytilus californianus (California mussel)
Lineage: Eukaryota; Metazoa; Mollusca; Bivalvia; Mytilida; Mytilidae
Exons: 4
Source: RefSeq, a predicted model, not a curated record